RNAcentral lists this ribosomal RNA (246 nucleotides) under uncultured bacterium. RNAcentral's name for it is "partial 16S ribosomal RNA". It matches the Rfam family "Bacterial small subunit ribosomal RNA", at positions 90 to 339 of the family's 1533-position model. The record is from RNAcentral.
GGCGAGUGGCGAACGGGUGAGUAAUGUAUCGGAACGUGCCUAGUAGCGGGGGAUAACUACUCGAAAGAGUGGCUAAUACCGCAUACGACCCACGGGUGAAAGCAGGGGAUCGCAAGACCUUGCGCUAUUGGAUGAGCCGAAGUCGGAUUAGCUUGUUGGUGAGGUAACGGCUCACCAAGGCGACGAUCCGUAGCUGGUCUGAGAGGACGACCAGCCACACUGGGACUGAGACACGGCCCAGACUCC